AUAAGUCCAUUCAAAAUUAAAAACUCCAAGUCCAUUAGUGGAACACACUCCUCUAGGUAUUUUGUCAGUAUGACCGUUCAAUCUGACAAGGCAGCUGAUAAUGGAAAACCAAAUAACAGCUGCAUUCAGACCACAAACACCUCCUUGGAAGGAAAAUGCAUAUGUGAGCCAAGCAAGGGCAAAAAGAAUGUCUCUCAAAAAAGAGCCUACCCAUGUUAAUGUUUCUGUGGAAGAUCUACAUUAAUUCAUUCAACAAAUACUGGGAAAGCUACCAUGUGCCAGGCAUUACCCAAAGUGCUAGAGAUAGAAUAGUGAACAGAACAGACAGAAACCCCUCCAAAGGGUUAUAUUCCAAAGGAGUAAGGGAGGAAAAUGACAUAACUCCAAAAGUAUUUAAUUGUGCUGGUACAUUCUCUUCUUAUUUUUCAUGAUCUGAACAUCCAUCUGAAUCAAUGAGAAACGCGGCAAACCAAAAACCUCCUUCAUGCCUCAACAUUUAGGGUAAAGUGUGAAACAAUAUGCAUGUUAAUCUAACCUACACUGUCUGAGGCCCUGAAUUGCAGGUCACUAAUUUGGCUUAAACUCUUAAAUACUCGUUUUCAUUUCCCUUCAUAGGAAACA
RNAcentral lists this long non-coding RNA (621 nucleotides) under Lynx pardinus (Iberian lynx). The record is from RNAcentral. Lineage: Eukaryota; Metazoa; Chordata; Mammalia; Carnivora; Felidae.